RNAcentral lists this ribosomal RNA (378 nucleotides) under uncultured bacterium. Its description in RNAcentral is "bacterial SSU rRNA". It matches the Rfam family "Bacterial small subunit ribosomal RNA", at positions 8 to 411 of the family's 1533-position model. The record is from RNAcentral.
AGAGUUUGAUCAUGGCUCAGAACGAACGCUGGCGGCAGGCCUAACACAUGCAAGUCGAACGGAUGUAGCAAUACAUUAGUGGCGCACGGGAGAGUAACGCGUGGGAACCUACCUUUUGGUUUGGGAUAACGUCGGGAAACUGACGCUAAUACCAGAUAAGCCCUUCGGGGGGAAAGAUUUAUCGCCGAUUGAUGGGCCCGCGUUAGAUUAGCUAGUUGGUGAGGUAACGGCUCACCAAGGCGACGAUCUAUAGCUGGUCUGAGAGGAUGACCAGCCUCACUGGGACUGAGACACGGCCCAGACUCCUACGGGAGGCAGCAGUGGGGAAUAUUGGACAAUGGGGGCAACCCUGAUCCAGCCAUGCCGCGUGAAUGAUGA